Molecule: long non-coding RNA, 1378 nt
Organism: Oreochromis aureus
Lineage: Eukaryota; Metazoa; Chordata; Actinopteri; Cichliformes; Cichlidae
Exons: 3
Source: RefSeq, a predicted model, not a curated record
CAGAAUAUUUAUCCGCUACUUUGAGUUUCACAUUUAGCUUAAAUGUUUAGCUAGUUAAUCAUCUUCUGGCUUAUUACUUUAACCAGCUAUCAACUAGCUCACUUUAUCCAAAUAUUUGAGCUAAAAAUUGUUUCAAUCCUUCACUUCUUUUGUGCCAUGGCAAUCCUUUUUAUUAACAGUUUGAACAUUCAUUUUGGCUAAUAGGUACACAGCUACAGGGCCAGUCUGACGUGUAAAUGACGAGUUUUGACCCCUCAGCCAAUAAAGGACUGAUGAUCGUCAUCACCUCGCAGGUUUGCGACGUGGACAUUUAAGUUUGUGACAACUCAGCCGGUAUUUUUAUGUCAUUUCAUUUGGACUUAGCAUCCGUUAGUUUCCAGAGUAGAUUUUCUUGUUUCACUUUAGUUUUAGUUUGUUUUUUAAUAAUUUCAAUGUUUGAGUCUUUUUCAUUAUUAUGAUGUAUGAAGGGGAUCUAUAAACCUCUUGUAAUAUUCUGACCGCCAGCGUAUCUGAAGUCCGGAAAGGAGAGGGCCGCUCUCCGCCUGUGCUACUAACAACUGAGGCACUGAAAGGAGAGAGGCUGGGAAAUGGCCCGAGGGUUCAGGCCUGUUUCUCUGCAGUUAGAAGCUGCAAACAUUUCACACUGCAAAUGACUGCAACAGCGAGGUACAGCACAGUGCAACGAAAUCAUGGGAAAAGCUAAUAUUUCUCACAUCCGGCAGAAAAAGCUGUCUUCUUUACUGUUUUAAACAAUAUCUGUGUGGAUUCAUGAUUGUAAUUACUCUCAUAUGUAUUUCUCAGAAGCCUGUGCUCUUCAUUUCAGUCUGCAGGUUUGCAAGUCCAAGAUUAAAUCAAAUGAAGGAUGAACAGUAUGUGAAAGUCACGUCCUUGAGAACUGGAUAAACAGGACAUCGGGAACGGCAUCAAUGGAAGGGUAACUGUCAAGAAGCAUUUUAUAAGGAAGGAGAAGGCUGAGGUAUGCCAAGUUACACAGGAACUGAGCUGAGAAUCAGUGGCAACAGGUCUGAUGGAGCGAUGGAUCCAAGUUUACAUCUUUUUGGCUGAAAUCAUCAUCAAUGGGAGAAUUCAAAGGAGGCAUUUGGAGGCUGCGUCAGGAUUUGGGGCAGCAGUGGUGUCGGGACCAGAUCCAGUUUUCAUUUUUCAUCUUGACAGAGAAAAGCAGAAAAAGCAGCCGAGAUCCAAAGAAGAGGCUUCAAGAACCCCAGAGAACCGUUCCUGAAGACUGAAAGUACAAGAACACUUCGAGAGCGUUCAGGCGGUUUUCAAAAAUAAAGACGCGCAGACCAAAUAUUGACUUUCCAGCUGUUCCAUGCCUGUUUGCACAGUUCAAUAAACUGCUGCACCCAUUUCCCAUUCU